ACGGAGGGUGCAAGCGUUGUUCGGAUUGACUGGGCGUAAAGGGCGUGUAGGCGGUUGGUCAAGUCUGGUGUGAAAGCCCGGGGCUCAGCCUCGGAAGUGCAUCGGAAACUAGCCAGCUAGAGCGCGGUAGAGGAGGGUGGAAUUCCUGGUGUAGCGGUGAAAUGCGUAGAUAUCAGGAGGAACACCGGCGGCGAAGGCGGCCCUCUGGACCGUUGCUGACGCUGAGACGCGAAAGCGUGGGGAGCAAACAGGAUUAGAUACCCUGGUAGUCCACGCCUUAAACGAUGGGUACUAGGUGUUCGGGGUAUUGACCCCUCGAGUGCCGCAGCUAACGCAUUAAGUACCCCGCCUGGGGACUACGGCCGCAAGGUUA
This 373-nucleotide ribosomal RNA is filed under the name uncultured bacterium. RNAcentral describes it as "bacterial SSU rRNA". It matches the Rfam family "Bacterial small subunit ribosomal RNA", at positions 525 to 896 of the family's 1533-position model. The record is from RNAcentral.